AGCAGCUUAGGGUGAUAGGGGAGGCUUCCCAGAAGACCAGGAAGAGGCUUGGGGGUGGCAGCCAGCACAGCCCGGUGGAGGGCGGCCUGGAGACGCACCAGGGGGCCGAUGCAUGAGCCUGAGACGUGUGAGUCAAGGUGUAUGUGAGCCCGGGAUGCAUGGGAGCUGGGGUGCAUGUGAGCAGGGGUACAUGGGAGCUGGGGUGCGUGUGGGCCCAGGGUGCAUGAGUGAGGGUGCGUGUGAGCCGGAGUCCGUGGGAGCCUGGGGUGCGUGGGAACUGGGUGAGCGGGGUGUGUGAGCGGGGUGCGUGUGGGCCGAAGUGCGUGUGAGCAGGGGUGCGUGUGGGCCGGAGUGCGUGUGAGCAGGGGUGCGUGUGAGCCGGGAGUGCAUGUGAGCCUGGGGUGCAUGGGAACCGGGGUGAGUGUCAGCGGGGGUGGGAUCCGGGGUGCAUGUGAGCCGGGGUGUGUGUGAGCCAGGGUGGAUGUGUCUGGAGUGUGCAGGACCAGAGGCCAGCUCCGUGGCAGAAGUGCCAGGGGACAUCCCUAAUUAAGAGAAUCUGUCCUCACUGGGAGCACUGGGCUUGGGGCACAGCCCCAGGGUGGGCAGGGGUCUGCCAGCUCUACAGAGAUGCCCCCACUUCCCGGGGGACCUGGCCCUGCUAUGGGAUGCACCAGCAGCUGGGGGAUGGGCUGUCCAGGGUGCUGACUGUGAACGCGGCGCCCCCACCCACCCCUUUGGAGAGGUAUCCCUCGUAACAUUCUGGAGCACAGGAGAGGCCUGGACAGGCAAUGGCCCACUCAAUGGUCCCUCCAGACCGUCGGGCACAAGGUCACACACACCGUGUACAGACAAGGCCAUGCGGAACUGAGGGGCAUUCCCGAGCACACAGGAACCCCAGCCUGCCCCUGGGCUGUCCCCAUGUCCUCCCGCAGUUCCCAGGUCUUGUGGAGGGGCAGACAGGGCACCAGGGGGACCCACAAACGGCCUGACACCAUCACUGCCCCAAGAACUGGGCAGAGAAGGGAUAUGGCCCUGGGUCCAGAUCACCAGGUGAUGAGGGCAGGAGGUCAGAGGGAAACGAGGCCCCAGGAGAGGAGAUGGCCAUCCGCAGCUCAGAGUAUAUCCUGGCCUCAAGCGCCAAGCAACCCCACAAGUCUCAUUCCAGACGAAAUGCCCAGGCUGGGGGUGAAGGUCCCUGAACUGAGGGGAGGUGCUAGCACAACAGAGAAAACUGUCAUUUAAAACCCAAACAGGGGCCGGGUGUGGUGGCUCACACCUGUAAUCUCAGCACUUUGGAAGGCCGAGGCGGGCAGAUCACGAGGUCAGGAGAUCGAGACCAUCCUGGCUAACACGGGGAAACCCCGUCUCUACUAAAAAAUACAAAAAAUUAGCUGGGCGUGGUUGCGGGCACCUGUAGUCGCAGCUACUCGGGAGGCUGAGGCAGGAGAAUGGCGUGAACCCAGGAGGCGGAGCUUGCAGUGAGCAGAGAUCAUGCCACUGCACUCCAGCCUGGGCGACAGAGUGAGACUCCAUCUCAAAAAAAAAAAAAAAAAAAAAAAAAAAAAAAAAACAACCCAAACUGCCUGCUCCAUCUGCCUCUGCCUUCCAAGGACACAGACCUCUCCUGUCAUCAGGAAAAUGAGCUGUUCCAAGCUCCCCUCGCCCCAUGGGGAUGUGUCGAAGGACACAGGGAGGACACGUGCAGAGUGACUGGUGCCAUGCCAGGUGUGGGAAACCCCGUUCCAUGGGGGCUGGGCAGGAAGGAACCCUACACCUCCAGCCCUGGGCCCCUCCCACAACUGCCCUAGCCCUGGUGGGAACUGAUUUCCCUAAUUAACACUCCACGAAACAUCCUCACCUCCACCGGAGACGGCAGGAAAGAGACACCCACUGUCACCAGACGGGCUCGGUCACACACACUGUGACAGACAACAGCCCACGUUGCCACAGACGCCUCACACCAUCACACGUGGCCACACGCGCGCGUUACUGCCCUGCAACCCGGCGUCCCCCAGGCCCCGAGGCCCCAGCGUGCUGGCAGACCCACACAGAUAAAAUGCGUGCACGUGGUUAAUAAAAUUACCUGCAAUUUUG
This 2094-nucleotide non-coding RNA is filed under the name Pan troglodytes (chimpanzee). Lineage: Eukaryota; Metazoa; Chordata; Mammalia; Primates; Hominidae. The record is from RNAcentral.